CUAUUAAUGUGGUCUGAUGCCCUAGCAAAAUAAAAAGAAGGUAGGGGUUGAAGCCAUAAUCGUAGCAAAAUAUUUUACAUUGCUAGGAGAAAAGACAAAAGAAGAAAAAUGUCUUUAUGAGAUAGCUGGCCCCGGGAUAGCUAGCUGGCUGCAGCUGCUUCAUUGUUGUUUUCCUCUUUUUCCUUUUUUCUUAUUCGAAUAUGAGUUGUACUACUUCUUCACUCAAAGCAUCGGACCUUCUUUACUACCAUAAUAUCUUCAAAACUCAGUAACAGACCAUUCUCCGGCAAAAUAAGGCAUUUUAAGGGUAUUGCCACAUAUAUCAAUGGUUGGAAUGGUUUAUUUAUCCGUGCAGCAGUCAUGUCUUACUAUUUAUAUUUUGUUCAUUCAGAUGAAGAAUCAGAUUUUGGUCGAGGGUGUGAUCCAGACAUUUAUUGGAGGACUUAUUUGCACGGAUUCCAAGUUGAUUCACAAGAUUUCCAAAAGGUUCAUGUAUGGCACUUAAAUUUUGUUAAACUAGGGGCAAAGAUAUUCCACAUGUAUGAUGGAUCUGCCUUUAUUUAUGUUUCCUUUGCCGGGCGCACUUAUCCACUUGAGCCUGCUUCCUUUGCUAGAUGUAUUCUAAAAUAGUUUUCUAUUAUAUCUUUGGUUUUACAAAUUAAAUUGUAUACAUUUAGGGGUCGUUUGGUAGGGUGUAUGAGAAUAGUGCAGAAUACAGUGUAUUAGUAAUGCAGAAUUAGUAAUGCAUGAAUUAGUAAUGCAGUGAUUAGCAAUGCAUGAGUUAGUAAUGCAGGGAUUAGUAAUGCAUGAAUUAGUAAUGCAGUGAUUAGCAAUGCAUGAGUUAGUAAUGCAGGGAUUAGUAAUGCAUGAGUUAAUAAUGCAGGGAUUAGUAAUGCAAGCAUUAGUUAUGCAUAUAUUAUUUCUUAUAAACUGUUUGGUGUGAUGUAUUAAA
Long non-coding RNA from Nicotiana tabacum (common tobacco), 952 nucleotides. RefSeq lists it as uncharacterized. Lineage: Eukaryota; Viridiplantae; Streptophyta; Magnoliopsida; Solanales; Solanaceae. The record is from RefSeq and is a predicted model, not a curated record.